AGCUUUGAACGUAGCAGUAUCAUAGCCAAGGUAGUUUAUCCCAGGAGUGAUUAUUGCUAAUUAAAAACUUUUUCAAUACCCUGCCACAAUAACUUGUAAUAUAGUCAGCAUUGGCAAUUUUUGGAAGUCUUUAUGGA
Molecule: small nuclear RNA, 137 nt
Filed under: Microcebus murinus (gray mouse lemur)
Lineage: Eukaryota; Metazoa; Chordata; Mammalia; Primates; Cheirogaleidae
Description: U4 spliceosomal RNA (ENSMICG00000047117.1)
Rfam family: U4 spliceosomal RNA
About the family: U4 small nuclear RNA (U4 snRNA) is a component of the major U2-dependent spliceosome. The structure of U4 snRNA from yeast and human has been reported.
Source: RNAcentral